Molecule: ribosomal RNA, 1519 nt
Filed under: metagenome
Description: bacterial SSU rRNA
Rfam family: Bacterial small subunit ribosomal RNA
Source: RNAcentral
AGAGUUUGAUCCUGGCUCAGAAUAAACGUUGGCGGCGUGCCUAACACAUGCAAGUCGAACGAGAACGUGUCCUUCGGGGCGCUAGUACAGUGGCAGACGGGUGAGUAACACGUGGGUAACCUGUCCUAGGGUUGGGAAUAACUCUGCGAAAGCGGGGCUAAUACCGAAUAACAUCCAGGGAACAUAAGUUUCUUGGAUUAAAGGGGGCCUCUUUACAAUGCUCCCGCCUAAGGAGGGGCCCGCGGCCCAUUAGCUAGCUGGUAGGGUAACGGCCUACCAGGGCUACGAUGGGUAGCCGGCCUGAGAGGGUGUACGGCCACACUGGGACUGAGACACGGCCCAGAUUCCUACGGGAGGCUGCAGUGAGGAAUAUUACGCAAUGGGCGAAAGCCCGACGUAGCGACGCCGCGUGGACGAUGAAGGUCUUCGGAUCGUAAAGUCCUGUUGUAGGGGAAGAAACUGUGCAGAGCUAAUAUCUCUGCAUUUUGACUGUACCCUGCGAGAAAGCCCCGGCCAACUCCGUGCCAGCAGCCGCGGUAAUACGGGGGGGGCGAGCGUUAUUCGGAAUUACUGGGCAUAAAGGGCGUUUAGGUGGUAUGGUUAGUUGUAGGUGAAAGCCCCGGGCUCAACCCGGGAAGUGCUUACAAUACUGCCGUACUUGAGGCCGGGAGAGGAGAGCGGAAUUCCUAGUGUAGCGGUGAAAUGCGUAGAUAUUAGGAGGAACACCAGUGGCGAAGGCGGCUCUCUGGACCGGUUCUGACACUGAAGCGCGAAAGCUAGGGGAGCAAACGGGAUUAGAUACCCCGGUAGUCCUAGCCCUAAACGAUGGGUACUUGGUGUGGCGGGUAUCGACCCCUGCCGUGCCGGAGCUAAUGCAUUAAGUACCCCGCCUGGGGAGUACGGUCGCAAGGCUGAAACUCAAAGGAAUUGACGGGGGCCCGCACAAGCGGUGGAACAUGUGGUUUAAUUCGAAGCAACGCGAAGAACCUUACCUGGGUUUGGACUGUUAAUGACAGCUUCAGAGAUGAAGUCUUCCUUCGGGACGUUAACAGAGGUGCUGCAUGGCUGUCGUCAGCUCGUGUCGUGAGAUGUUGGGUUAAGUCCCGCAACGAGCGCAACCCUUGUCCUUAGUUGCUACCGGGUCAUGCCGAGCUACUCUAAGGAGACUGCCGGUGAUAAACCGGAGGAAGGUGGGGAUGACGUCAAGUCCUCAUGGCCUUUUAUGCCCAGGGCUACACACGUGUUACAAUGGCCGGUACAAAGGGUUGCCAAACCGUGAGGUGGAGCCAAUCCCUAAAAACCGGUCUCAGUUCAGAUUGUAGUCUGCAACUCGGCUGCAUGAAGUCGGAAUCGCUAGCAAUCGCGGAUCAGCACGCCGCGGUGAAUACGUUCCCGGGCCUUGUACACACCGCCCGUCAUAUCACGAAAGUUGGUUGCACUUGAAGUCGCUGGGCUAACCCGCAAGGGAGGCAGGCGCCGACGGUGUGGUCAAUGAUUGGGGUAAAGUCGAAACAAGGUA